Molecule: transfer RNA, 72 nt
Organism: Amycolatopsis orientalis HCCB10007
Lineage: Bacteria; Bacillati; Actinomycetota; Actinomycetes; Pseudonocardiales; Pseudonocardiaceae
Rfam family: tRNA
About the family: Transfer RNA (tRNA) molecules are approximately 80 nucleotides in length. Their secondary structure includes four short double-helical elements and three loops (D, anti-codon, and T loops).
Source: Rfam
GGCGCGUUGGUCCAGCGGAAGGGAUACCGGGUUUUCACCCCGGUGACGUGGGUUCGACUCCCACACGCGCUA